AUGAUCGAUUUAAAAAUACCCAAACUUUUAGAUCUAAGUCAAUUUUUAGAUUAUACAUGUCAAAAAAAAUUAGUGGCUCUGAUACCACUGUAAUAAUAUGGGUAGGAUUGCAUGCGUAGAUUUCAAAACUAAUUUUGAAAUGGUGGAAUCAAUCUAGGUUAAACCCUUUAACCCCACAUAUAAUAGAUCAGAUCUAAAACUACCCCCACCCA
Molecule: long non-coding RNA, 212 nt
Filed under: Elaeis guineensis (African oil palm)
Lineage: Eukaryota; Viridiplantae; Streptophyta; Magnoliopsida; Arecales; Arecaceae
Description: long non-coding RNA (EGUI_LNC045938)
Source: RNAcentral